Long non-coding RNA from Electrophorus electricus (electric eel), 3949 nucleotides. Lineage: Eukaryota; Metazoa; Chordata; Actinopteri; Gymnotiformes; Gymnotidae. The record is from Ensembl.
CUUUGACUCAGGAAUGCUGGAGCUCUUUCUUCACUCUAUAAACACCUGUGUGAAGGGGAAGUUUGAGUGGAUGAGGGCUGUUGUGCAGGGCUGCACCACAACCGCCCAUCAGUUGCCCUGCUGUGUCCGAGCUGAGCACACCACAUCUCCACCUGGGGAAGAAGAAGACAGAAGAGUGUUCACACAGAGAUGCUGCUCCUGGCCCUGGUCCUGGCACUGCUGCCCUGCUCUGCUCAGGGCUUGGCUGUGCCUGUGAUCAAGCUGAACUCCACGACCCUGCGUGAGCAUGAAGUGGUGCUGACCUCAGGAACGUCCUUCAUGCUGAGCUGUGAGGGACAGGCUGGAGUCUUCUGGAAGACCAGGCUCAGCCAGCACAGGAAGAAAACUCUCACUGUUAGGCAUGCCACUGCAGACUACACGGGAACAUAUAGGUGUAGUUACAAGAAUCAAACCAACCUGUACUCCCAGAUUCACAUCUAUGUUAAAGAUCCAGGCCAACCCUUCACUACUCCUCGGUCCAGCGUUGUAGUAGAGCGGGAAGGCUCGGACUGCCUGCUGGAUUGUAUGCCUACAGACCCUGGUGCCACAGACUUCUCCCUCUGCUUGGCCAACCGAUCCACUGUUCCUCUGGAGAUGAAGUAUACUGCCAAUCCCACAGAGGGCAUCUGGAUCCGAGACCUGCGCCCCCACUAUAGUGGCGACUAUGUCUGUACCGUGAAUCUAAACUCACUCCAGAGGGUGUCUGUAGUCUUCCAAAUCACCGUCAUCGAAAGAGUGAAGCUCCCUCCCUCUGUGUUUACUGAAGUGGGGGAGUUGGUUCGCAUCGUUGGGGAAAGUCUGCAGAUCAGCUGCUAUGUCACAAAUCCAGACCAUUCCUACCAUGUCACAUGGCAGCAUUCAUCCAAGAAGAAACUUCACGCCAACAACACGGUGAAUAGUAGCAGGAACCCAGUUCUCAUCACGAGUGUUUUGACUCUCUGUGACGUCAGCAUGUCUGACAGUGGGAACCUGAGCUGUAUAGGCAACAACUCAGCAGGAGAGAACCGUUCCACAGUCUCUCUCAGAGUAGUAGAUAAACCGUACGCUCACCUGACGCCUGCGCAGACGUCCAGAGUUCUGCGGCAAGGUCUUGUGCGAGUGCUGCAGGAAGGAGAUCUGCUGAAGCUGGCGGUGUGUGUGGAUGCAUACCCUGCACUUCAGCACAGCUGGUGGGACACACCCAGAGCCCAGAACAAGUCCACUACAGAGCAAACCUUCUACAGGGUUCAGAAGAGGUUUGGUGGCAGAUCAUAUUGCCACACACUGUCUAUGUUGAAUGUGUCUCCAGAGAAACCCAGUGUUGUGAUUAAAUGGCGGAAUGGAUCCCUCGCUUGUGCUGCCUCUGGGUAUCCCGAACCAAAGAUCCACUGGCGCCGAUAUAUUGGUACUACGAUGCCUGAACACUGGUUUUCAAGGAUAUACACGGCUAUCUUCAUCGGAAGCUCAAUGGUGACCACUCUCCUGGUACUGGUGCUGGGAGUUUGUAUCUGCAGGUGGAAACAGGUAUUCCUGGUUCUUCUAACAACAGGGUUAGGGAUAGUUAACCUUUUGUCAUUAUCAUUUGUCCAGCAAGCUAACAGUGUUUUUGGAUUUUUACAGAAACCCAGAUAUGAAAUCAGAUGGAAAAUCAUAGAAGUUAAUGAUGGGAAUAAUUACACAUACAUUGACCCUUCUCAGCUUCCAUACAACACAAAGUGGGAAUUCCCCCGUGACAGGCUGAGAUUUGGACGGGUCCUGGGAGCAGGGGCCUUUGGGAAAGUUGUAGAGGCCACAACCUACGGUCUGGACGAUGAGGAACGUGUCACUCGCGUGGCCGUGAAAAUUACACAGCUAAAGGAAAAGGCGAGCGCUCAUGCAGAAGAACGUGAAGCCCUCAUGUCAGAGCUGAAGAUCCUGAGUCAUCUGGGGCCGCACGCCAACAUCGUGAACCUCCUUGGAGCAUGCACCCACGGAGGACCUGUGCUGCUUAUAACAGAGUACUGCUGUAACGGUGACCUGCUGAACUUCCUGCGGAGAAGAGCCCAGCUUCUACUCUUCCUCUACAGUCUACUCUUCCUCUACAGUCUACUCUUCCUCUACAGUCUACUCUUCUUCUACAGUCUACUCUUCCUCUACAGCUAUCAGGACAUGCGUCCCGCAUGCAGACCCAAGGACGCCGCCGCAGGAUCCUGUAAUGGAGGAGGGAAUGGUUUAGACAUGGACUGUUUGCUGAGAUUUGCUGGUCAGGUGGCCCAAGGAAUGGAUUUCCUUGCAUCCAAAAAGUGUAUUCACAGGGAUCUGGCUGCGAGGAACGUCCUCGUGACUGACUGCUUUAUUGCCAAGAUCUGUGACUUUGGCCUUGCACGAGACAUCAUGAAUGACUCCAAUUACGUCGUGAGAGGAAAUGCCCGGCUGCCAGUUAAGUGGAUGUCUCCUGAGAGCAUAUUUGAGUGUGUCUACACUGUGCAGAGUGAUGUAUGGUCCUAUGGAAUCCUACUAUGGGAGAUCUUUUCUCUUGGUAGAAGUCCUUACCCAGAUGUGGUGGUUGACACACGAUUCUAUGAAAUGAUCAAAAGCGGAUAUCACAUGUCACAACCAGAUUUUGCCCCUAAAGAGAUGUACACCAUAAUGAAGCAAUGCUGGAGUCUGGAGCCAAACCUGCGGCCGCCCUUCAGCCGAGUCCUGCAGCUUAUCACAAAGCUCCAGCCAGAGAUGCAGGACUCCAACACUGACCAACAGUAUAAGAACUUGCGCAAGGAGCUGCAGCAAAAGCUCACAUCAAUGCAGGGUGUCUUUGCCCAAGACCGUGAGGACCCAUGUUACCAAACACCAUGCCAUGAGGAACAUGAGGACCCAUGUUACCAAACACCAUGCCAUGAGGAAAAUGAAGACCUGUGUCACCAAACACCAUGCCAUGAGGAAAAUGAAGACCUGUGUCACCAAACACCAUGCCAUGAGGAAAAUGAAGACCUGUGUCACCAAACAUCGUGCCAUGAGGAACAUGAAGACCUGUGUCACCAAACACCAUGCCAUGAAAACGCUCAGCUUCUAACAAAGCCAGAAUAUUACCAGCUGUGCUGACAGCCUACUGGACUGAGAGCCUGAUGAACUUACAUGAAAGUAUUAGAAAGCUGAUUUAUUUGCGUUUUACACCACUGGAGUGAAAUGUUUUUCAUAAUUAUGAGCUGUUCUCAUAAAGAUUUUAUUUGGGUCAAACUGCUAUUAACUUCAGACAAUGAACCGCAGAAUAACAUUUUGAGAACUAAAUAACAUCUUACAUACCUAUUUGUGAAUAUUAUAUCAUGAAUAUAUUGUGGGUAAAUGUUUCACAGACGGUUAUAUAACAGAUGUUCACUUUCCAGCUGAAUUUCAGCAGUGAUGCUCAUUCCAAUGUUUGUGACACAACAGAUAGUCCACAUUUUUGCUUUGUUAAGAUGCACGGUAGAGCUGGUGGAGGCUUGAUAUGGGCUGGAUCAAACACAUGGCCUAAGGACUGGGCUUCUGUCCUGCUGUAGAUUACAUUACUGCUUUUCUAAGGUAAAUUAUUCAAUUGUAAUAUUUAGUUUUAUAAACUUUAAAUGGCAAGGAUGGUAGAAAUGGUAAAAGCAUAGAAUAUCUGCAGAACAGUGUGCUAUGCUGUCACUUGUAGGAAUGCAUUAAACGUCUAUUCAUAAGCACACCCUAAAAGUAAUGUCUUUCAUCUUUCAGACCAAAAUUACAUUACUAUAUAACAAUUUCGUGGACAUUCUAGUGUAUCUUAUUUUAUAGUGUAUUUUCCUUUGGUCUUGGAUAUGUGUAUAAUGUGUGGAUAUGUGCUGUAGGUCCUGCAGUGCUUGUACAAACUGUUACUUGAAAUUCUGAUUAAAGCAUAGUACUGCUCUGGGUUUGUUCUUAUGUUUAAUAAUUAAUUCGUAUAAAUAACUGUUCAGCC